This 252-nucleotide ribosomal RNA is filed under the name uncultured bacterium. RNAcentral's name for it is "partial 16S ribosomal RNA". It matches the Rfam family "Bacterial small subunit ribosomal RNA", at positions 524 to 776 of the family's 1533-position model. The record is from RNAcentral.
UACGGAGGAUGCGAGCGUUAUCCGGAUUUAUUGGGUUUAAAGGGUGCGUAGGCGGAUCGUUAAGUCAGUGGUCAAAUUGAGGGGCUCAACCCCUUCCCGCCAUUGAAACUGGCGCUCUUGAGUGGAAGAGAAGUAUGCGGAAUGCGUGGUGUAGCGGUGAAAUGCAUAGAUAUCACGCAGAACCCCGAUUGCGAAGGCAGCAUGCCGGCUUCCGACUGACGCUGAAGCACGAAAGCGUGGGGAUCAAACAGG